Molecule: ribosomal RNA, 497 nt
Filed under: uncultured bacterium
Lineage: Bacteria
Description: partial 16S ribosomal RNA
Rfam family: Bacterial small subunit ribosomal RNA
Source: RNAcentral
GACGAACGCUGGCGGCGUGCUUAAUACAUGCAAGUCGAGCGCUGAGGGAUGGUACUUGUACCCAGUGGAUGAGCAGCAAACGGGUGAGUAAAGCGUGGAGAAUCUGCUUUUGAACGGGGGACAUCCUUUGGAAACGAAUGCUAAAACCGCAUAAAAACUUUCAAAACACGUUUUCAGUUCGAAAGAUGCAAUUGCAUAAUUCAAUGAUGUUCCAGCGUUGUAUUAGCUAGUUGGUGAGGUACAGGCUCACCAAGGCGAGGAGACAUAGCCGACAGGAGAGGGGGAGCGGCCACAUUGAGACUGAGACACGGCCCAAACUCCUACGGGAGGCAGCAGUAGGGAAUCUUCAGCAAUGGACGAAAGUCUGACCGAGCAACGCCGCGGGAGUGAAGAAGGAUUUCGGAUCGUAAAACUCUGGUGGUAGAGAAGAACGUUGGUGAGAGUGGAAAGCUCAGCAAGUGACGGUAACUACCCAGGAAGGGACGGCUAACUACGUG